CGCCUAGCUGCGCGCUCUUCCUGCUCCGCGGCUCGGCCCUGGGCCAGCACUGCGCAUGUGUGAGCUCUAGCGGUCGCGCUCUCCGUCUGAGCUCCCGGGCCACCUCUGUCCCAGUCCCAUUAGCCAAGAGGCCGCAGAUCCAUUAUAACAGGCUCUUACAGGGAGGACUGUUCUGCGGAGCGCUCCGAACGGACAAACCACAAUAAAAAGUUCACGUUCAUGGAUGGAAUCCACAUGACUUCUUGUGGCCAAUCCAACUUGAAGAGAACGGCAUUCUUCCCCAGGGGUGUCCAGUCCUGGCAGUCCCCAACUCCAGCCCAGAUGGAAAUGGGAGGGGCAGGCCGCUGGAAGCUGGAAGCGUCAUCGCCAAGCCUGACCUGGCCGUGGUCUGAAGAGCAGAGAGGGUUUAGACCUGCCCUGGGCAGUCCUGCAGAGACCGCAGGAGGGGUGAGAAUGGGGGCCAACCUCCAGAACCCCCAAAGCGCGCCUCAUCCCCAGGUUCCUUUCUCAGAGAAAAUGACAUCCCCCCAGACCAUCCCUAGUGUCAGGUCUCCUCAAUUCCUAGGUUCAGAUGGCAGCUUACUUCUAAUCAUUUUAGAAUUAAAAAUCAAAU
Camelus dromedarius (Arabian camel) is the source of this 613-nucleotide long non-coding RNA. RefSeq lists it as uncharacterized. The record is from RefSeq and is a predicted model, not a curated record. Lineage: Eukaryota; Metazoa; Chordata; Mammalia; Artiodactyla; Camelidae. The transcript has 4 exons.